GGGCUUGUUCAGAAGCCCAUAGUAAAAUAGUAAUAAUACAGGGAAAGAUUAGCCUGGCUCCUCUACAAGGCAUGUACACUCAUGAAAGUCAUCAUUUUUAU
This 101-nucleotide small nuclear RNA is filed under the name Propithecus coquereli (Coquerel's sifaka). The record is from RNAcentral. Lineage: Eukaryota; Metazoa; Chordata; Mammalia; Primates; Indriidae.